Molecule: transfer RNA, 69 nt
Filed under: Ictidomys tridecemlineatus (thirteen-lined ground squirrel)
Lineage: Eukaryota; Metazoa; Chordata; Mammalia; Rodentia; Sciuridae
Description: Spermophilus tridecemlineatus (thirteen-lined ground squirrel) tRNA
Rfam family: tRNA
About the family: Transfer RNA (tRNA) molecules are approximately 80 nucleotides in length. Their secondary structure includes four short double-helical elements and three loops (D, anti-codon, and T loops). Further hydrogen bonds mediate the characteristic L-shaped molecular structure. tRNAs have two regions of fundamental functional importance: the anti-codon, which is responsible for specific mRNA codon recognition, and the 3' end, to which the tRNAs corresponding amino acid is attached (by aminoacyl-tRNA synthetases). tRNAs cope with the degeneracy of the genetic code in two manners: having more than one tRNA (with a specific anti-codon) for a particular amino acid; and 'wobble' base-pairing, i.e. permitting non-standard base-pairing at the 3rd anti-codon position.
Source: Rfam by way of RNAcentral
GGUGUUGUAGCUCAGUGGUAGAGCACUUGUCUGAAAAUUGUAAGGCACUGGGUUCGAUCCUCAGUACCA